UGCGUAGGCGGGCUAAUAAGUCAGUGGUGAAAUCUCUCGGCUCAACCGGGAAACUGCCAUUGAUACUGUUAAUCUUGAGUUCGGUUGAGGUAGGCGGAAUGUGUAAUGUAGCGGUGAAAUGCUUAGAUAUUACACAGAACACCAAUUGCGUAGGCAGCUUACUAGACCGACACUGACGCUGAGGCACGAAAGCGUGGGUAGCGAACAGGAUUAGAUACCUGGUAGUCC
This 228-nucleotide ribosomal RNA is filed under the name uncultured bacterium. RNAcentral describes it as "partial 16S ribosomal RNA". It matches the Rfam family "Bacterial small subunit ribosomal RNA", at positions 568 to 796 of the family's 1533-position model. The record is from RNAcentral.